CUUGUAGGCGGUCUGUCGCGUCUGCUGUGAAAAUCCGGGGCUCAACCCCGGACUUGCAGUGGGUACGGGCAGACUAGAGUGUGGUAGGGGAGACUGGAAUUCCUGGUGUAGCGGUGGAAUGCGCAGAUAUCAGGAGGAACACCGAUGGCGAAGGCAGGUCUCUGGGCCACUACUGACGCUGAGAAGCGAAAGCAUGGGGAGCGAACA
RNAcentral lists this ribosomal RNA (207 nucleotides) under uncultured bacterium. RNAcentral describes it as "partial 16S ribosomal RNA". It matches the Rfam family "Bacterial small subunit ribosomal RNA", at positions 568 to 774 of the family's 1533-position model. The record is from RNAcentral.